RNAcentral lists this ribosomal RNA (425 nucleotides) under uncultured bacterium. RNAcentral's name for it is "partial 16S ribosomal RNA". It matches the Rfam family "Bacterial small subunit ribosomal RNA", at positions 354 to 796 of the family's 1533-position model. The record is from RNAcentral.
GUGGGGAAUCUUGCGCAAUGGGCGAAAGCCUGACGCAGCCAUGCCGCGUGAAUGAUGAAGGUCUUAGGAUUGUAAAAUUCUUUCACCGGGGACGAUAAUGACGGUACCCGGAGAAGAAGCUCCGGCUAACUUCGUGCCAGCAGCCGCGGUAAUACGAAGGGGGCUAGCGUUGCUCGGAAUUACUGGGCGUAAAGGGCGCGUAGGCGGACAGCUUAGUCAGAGGUGAAAGCCCAGGGCUCAACCUUGGAAUUGCCUUUGAUACUGGCUGUCUUGAGUUUGGGAGAGGUGAGUGGAACUCCGAGUGGAGAGGUGAAAUUCGUAGAUAUUCGGAAGAACACCAGUGGCGAAGGCGACUCACUGGCCCAAUACUGACGCUGAGGCGCGAAAGCGUGGGGAGCAAACAGGAUUAGAUACCCUAGUAGUCC